RNAcentral lists this ribosomal RNA (490 nucleotides) under uncultured bacterium. Its description in RNAcentral is "partial 16S ribosomal RNA". It matches the Rfam family "Bacterial small subunit ribosomal RNA", at positions 29 to 507 of the family's 1533-position model. The record is from RNAcentral.
AAUGAACGCUGGCGGCAUGCCUUACACAUGCAAGUCAAACGGCAGCAUGACCUAGCUUGCUAGGUUGAUGGCGAGUGGCGAACGGGUGAGUAAUGCAUCGGAACGUGCCUUUUAGUGGGGGAUAACGUAGCGAAAGUUACGCUAAUACCGCAUAUUCUCUGAGGAGGAAAGCAGGGGACCUUCGGGCCUUGCGCUAGAAGAGCGGCCGAUGUCGGAUUAGCUAGUUGGUGAGGUAAAGGCUCACCAAGGCAACGAUCCGUAGCGGGUCUGAGAGGAUGAUCCGCCACACUGGGACUGAGACACGGCCCAGACUCCUACGGGAGGCAGCAGUGGGGAAUUUUGGACAAUGGGCGCAAGCCUGAUCCAGCCAUGCCGCGUGAGUGAAGAAGGCCUUCGGGUUGUAAAGCUCUUUCGGCUGGGAAGAAAUCGCACCCUCUAAUACAGGGUGUGGAUGACGGUACCAGCAUAAGAAGCACCGGCUAACUACGUG